This 378-nucleotide unclassified non-coding RNA is filed under the name uncultured Gammaproteobacteria bacterium. Its description in RNAcentral is "contains 16S-23S intergenic spacer region". Lineage: Bacteria; Pseudomonadati; Pseudomonadota; Gammaproteobacteria. The record is from RNAcentral.
UCCGGUUUGUCACCGGCAGUCUCAUUAGAGUGCCCAACUAAAUGUAGCAACUAAUGACAAGGGUUGCGCUCGUUGCGGGACUUAACCCAACAUCUCACGACACGAGCUGACGACAGCCAUGCAGCACCUGUGUUCAGGCUCCCUUUCGGGCACAUCGACCUCUCGGCCAACUUCCUGACAUGUCAAGGGUAGGUAAGGUUUUUCGCGUUGCAUCGAAUUAAUCCACAUCAUCCACCGCUUGUGCGGGUCCCCGUCAAUUCCUUUGAGUUUUAAUCUUGCGACCGUACUCCCCAGGCGGUCGACUUCACGCGUUAGCUGCGGUACUAAGGAAGUCUCCUUCCCCAACACCUAGUCGACAUCGUUUAGGGCGUGGACUAC